This 67-nucleotide transfer RNA is filed under the name Onthophagus laticollis. RNAcentral's name for it is "tRNA-Pro". The record is from RNAcentral. Lineage: Eukaryota; Metazoa; Arthropoda; Insecta; Coleoptera; Scarabaeidae.
CAGAGAAUAGUUUAAUAAAAAUUUUAAUUUUGGAGAUUAAAGAUAGAAUAAAAUAUUUUUUCCCUGA